This 258-nucleotide ribosomal RNA is filed under the name uncultured bacterium. Its description in RNAcentral is "partial small subunit ribosomal RNA". It matches the Rfam family "Bacterial small subunit ribosomal RNA", at positions 26 to 285 of the family's 1533-position model. The record is from RNAcentral.
AGGACGAACGCUGGCGGCGUGCUUAACACAUGCAAGUCGAGCGGUAAGGCCCCUUUGGGGGUACACGAGCGGCGAACGGGUGAGUAACACGUGGGUGACCUGCCCUCCACUCUGGGAUAAGCCUUGGAAACGGGGUCUAAUACCGGAUAUGACCACAUGUCGCAUGGUGUGUGGUGGAAAGCGUUUAGUGGUGGGGGAUGGGCCCGCGGCCUAUCAGCUUGUUGGUGGGGUGAUGGCCUACCAAGGCGACGACGGGUA